RNAcentral lists this ribosomal RNA (246 nucleotides) under uncultured bacterium. RNAcentral describes it as "partial 16S ribosomal RNA". It matches the Rfam family "Bacterial small subunit ribosomal RNA", at positions 524 to 768 of the family's 1533-position model. The record is from RNAcentral.
UACGAAGGGGGCUAGCGUUGUUCGGAAUUAUUGGGCGUAAAGGGCGCGUAGGCGGUGCUGUAAGUCUGUGGUGAAAUCUCUGGGCUCAACUCAGAGUCUGCCAUAGAAACUGCAGUGCUGGAGUGUGGGAGAGGUGAGUGGAAUUCCCGGUGUAGCGGUGAAAUGCGUAGAUAGUCGGGAGGAACACCUGUGGCGAAAGCGGCUCACUGGACCACAACUGACGCUGAGGCGCGAAAGCUAGGGGAG